AUUGCACUGGGGAUAAAUCGGGCUGCUCAUGGGAGACGCCCCCUAUGCUCCGGAGAGCCGUGUGAUGGAGACAGCGGGUGCUGCGAUGCUGCGUCUCUGGGGGGAGAGUCAGGUCCGGGCCCCCGGGCCCUGCAUCUAUGGAGUCAGGAGCCUCCGCCCCAUCCUGAUUGACACUUCCCUGUACAAAUCCUUGCUGCAAAGACCAGCCAGGGAAGUAAAUUCAGCUGGACUUAGGGAGAAACGGGAAGAGGGAACAGGAGCGAGGUGGGAAACGCCUUCAUUGCCUGCCUGUGGAUGUUACUGUCACUCACGUUUCUGCCAGUGGCGGAGCACCUCCUGUGGAGCAUGACAGCGUCUCCCUUCUCAGGAGACUGAAAAAGUGAGAAUCCUUGUCCAGUGUUUGUUAUGUCCACUGAUGUCAAUACCAGCACAGCCUCUUUCUGCUCCAGGCCGCUCUGAAGCCCUCACCAUGUCUCCUCACAAAGAUGCCUUGAGAAACCCAGAGCAGGUGGCUCUGACAAUCAUCUUCCUUUUACAGAUGGUGGUUGGGUCUCGGGCCAAUGUCAUUCUCUUCUUCCACAACAUCUCGUCAGUCUUACUUGGCCACAAGAGACCCACAGACGAUUCUCAUGCACUUGGCCGUGGCCAACCUCCUGGUUCUUCUCGGCUCUAGGAUUCCCCACACGGUGACAGAGGAACCCCCUGUCCAGGCUUGAGUGGAAGUGUGUCUAUUACAUACAGAGAGUGGCUCGCAGCACUGCCUUGAGCUCCACCUGUGACCUGAGCACCUAUCUGUUCUUCAUUCUCAUCCCUGGGACACUGGGGUGGAUGAUGCUCAGAAAAAUAGCCCCCAAGGUCAAUGGUCCUUCCUGUUUCACCUGCUGAAUGUUCAGUUCCUUCAUGACCUUCUCUGUUCCCGUGACAAUGACUGGUCCACAGAACACGGGGAAUAAUCCGGACACCGAAGGGAAGUGGGUCUCCUCAUCCUCAAGUCCCUUUGCAGGUACCGUCCUCCUGUGGCUCAUCCCUGAUGCCAUGUUUCUUGGCCUCAGGUUCUAGUCCAGUGGCUCCAUGGUGCUCCUCCUGCACAGACACCACCAGGGGGUGCAGUGUAUUCGCACCCCCA
This is a non-coding RNA of Sus scrofa (pig), 1126 nucleotides long. The record is from RefSeq and is a predicted model, not a curated record. Lineage: Eukaryota; Metazoa; Chordata; Mammalia; Artiodactyla; Suidae.